Molecule: ribosomal RNA, 471 nt
Filed under: uncultured bacterium
Lineage: Bacteria
Description: bacterial SSU rRNA
Rfam family: Bacterial small subunit ribosomal RNA
Source: RNAcentral
GAUGAACGCUGGCGGCGUGCCUAACACAUGCAAGUCGAGCGAUCUUCUUCGGAAAAGAGCGGCGGACGGGUGAGUAACGCGUGGGUAACCUGCCCUGUACACACGGAUAACAUACCGAAAGGUAUGCUAAUACGAGAUAAUAUGCUUUUAUCGCAUGGUAGAAGUAUCAAAGCUCCGGCGGUACAGGAUGGACCCGCGUCUGAUUAGCUAGUUGGUAAGGUAACGGCUUACCAAGGCGACGAUCAGUAGCCGACCUGAGAGGGUGAUCGGCCACAUUGGAACUGAGACACGGUCCAAACUCCUACGGGAGGCAGCAGUGGGGAAUAUUGCACAAUGGGCGAAAGCCUGAUGCAGCAACGCCGCGUGAGCGAUGAAGGCCUCGGGUCGUAAAGGACUCUGUCCUCAAGGAAGAUAAUGACGGUACUUGAGGAGGAAGCCCCGGCGUAACUACGUGCCAGCAGCCGCGGUAAU